This 253-nucleotide ribosomal RNA is filed under the name uncultured bacterium. RNAcentral's name for it is "partial 16S ribosomal RNA". It matches the Rfam family "Bacterial small subunit ribosomal RNA", at positions 524 to 776 of the family's 1533-position model. The record is from RNAcentral.
AACGUAGGUGGCGAGCGUUAUCCGGAUUUACUGGGUUUAAAGGGUGUGUAGGCGGUCUUUUAAGUCUGUGGUGAAAUCUCCGGGCUCAACCCGGAAACUGCCAUUGAUACUAUUAGUCUUGAAUUCUGUUGAGGUAGGCGGAAUAAGUCAUGUAGCGGUGAAAUGCAUAGAUAUGACUUAGAACACCAAUUGCGAAGGCAGCUUGCUAAACAGAUAUUGACGCUGAGGCACGAAAGCGUGGGGAUCAAACAGG